ACAGGACCGCAAGCUCAAGUGGCAAGGCAGGAUUGUCCCCUAGAAACUUCCAAGGGAGCACGGCCCUGCCGAGACCUCAAUUUCUGCCUAGUCAUACUACUUCCAAAUUUCUGGCCUCCAGCACUGUGAGACAAUAAAGGUCUGUUGUUUUAAGGCACUGAGCAAAUGAAUUGGCUAGGAAACAAAUCCACAAGAAGACCGACCUCCCGGUGGCUCCUGUCUUAAGCCUGUCUUAAGAAGGACACUGAUGGCAGAGGAUGCCUGGUGGUUCCUGAGCUGUGUCCACCUUGUUUUCCAGAGCUUUCCCCGGAGUCACUCUUUGGCUGCGGUCUCCUGCGCCCCCUCCUGGCCAGAAGGAGAAGUGCGCCUCCUCCGGCCCCAGCUCUCUCCCUUGAAAUGUGAGAACCAGGGAAUCUCAAAACCAAAGCAGAAAGAUUUCUAUGCAGACACUGAGGCAAGAGGGGUCACGAUGAGGUCAGAGUGCUGUAGGAAUCCGCGCUGCUGGGCUGCACACAGUAAGCUGCCUCUCGUUUGAACAACAAGGGAGGAGGUGACACUGGUGUCAAGCACAGACAGGAAAAAAAGACAGAACCAGAUGGUGAAGGGCUUUGUGUUUCAUGCUGCUCUGGAACCGCCCUCUGGACAGCUGGCGGACUUUGCAGGUGGUCAGACAGAGCACGACCGAGUCACAUACUCCUUCAGACUGACUGCAGGGUCGGGCAGAGUGGCCUGAAGGCAGGAGAGGGACUCUUGCCAGAUGGGGUCGGACAGCACCUAGAACACUGUUCUGGAAAGAAAAUAGGAGCCGGUGGCCAUGGUGGACAGAUAAGCUGCUGAGAGGGCACAUCCCGGUGCAGCCCCCCAGGGAAGCUAGCAGCCAGAGCCCACUGCAGAGGGCAGGGGAAGCUCCCUGAGCCCCAAGGGGAGAGAGCUCAGGGCUGGAAAUGGCUUACAAGGAUGAACACCAGCCUGCAUCCACACAGAGUGACUGGGACCAGCGAGGCAGGCUGGGGCCCCAAGCCCAGGGGUAAGACCAGCCCUGGCACCAGACAGCGCGGAGAUGCUCAGAAGCGCCCCUCCCCGGCAUGGGCGUGGCCACAUGCCCCUGGAACCUUCUGCCGGGAGCCCCCGCCUUGAGGAACAGUCAACAAAUCCAGACCCGCAGCCCCUCCUGGUACCGAUAGGAAAGAACCCGCAGUCGGAGCUGCGCCGGGAACCCCAGCCCCACCCCUACGCAGCGAGGGGAGAGGGGGCUUGUUCACAGAAGGCAACUUGGAAGUCGCGAUUCUGGACUUGAAUGAACCUCCUGGAGCCGGUUGUCACAUCAAGAAUGAAGGCCCCUCCGCCCCUCCCACUCCACUUUUUUGGGAUUUUA
Long non-coding RNA from Mustela erminea (ermine), 1375 nucleotides. RefSeq lists it as uncharacterized. NCBI's taxonomy places the organism in Eukaryota, Metazoa, Chordata, Mammalia, Carnivora, Mustelidae. The record is from RefSeq and is a predicted model, not a curated record. The transcript has 3 exons.